UGGGGUGCGACCUCCGCAUCGGCUCGAACCGCUCGGUGGAUGUCUGCGGCGUGUGCGGCGGCGACGGGUCCUCCUGCGGCACCGGCGACCAUUUCUGGGUCGAGAAGAUCAUCGCGCCAUGCUCCGUGUCUUGCGGCGGAGGGUUCCAGGUGGCGCGCCCUGUCUGCAAGAGUCGGCGAAGCGGCGUGGAGGUGUCGGACGAGUUCUGCGACCACCGCCUGAGGCCACGCGACCGGCUCGUCGAGUGUGGGCUGGUGCCCUGCCAGGCCAGCUGGACCACCGACGAAUGGGGCGCGUGCAGCGCUUCCUGUGACGGUGGCCACAAACUGAGGAGGGUCUGGUGCUCGGAGACGGCCAACAACACCCUGGU
Molecule: long non-coding RNA, 370 nt
Organism: Pollicipes pollicipes
Lineage: Eukaryota; Metazoa; Arthropoda; Thecostraca; Pollicipedomorpha; Pollicipedidae
Exons: 3
Source: RefSeq, a predicted model, not a curated record